This 243-nucleotide long non-coding RNA is filed under the name Elaeis guineensis (African oil palm). Its description in RNAcentral is "long non-coding RNA (EGUI_LNC061117)". The record is from RNAcentral. Lineage: Eukaryota; Viridiplantae; Streptophyta; Magnoliopsida; Arecales; Arecaceae.
CAUCUUCAAGUCUAACAUUUUUUCAUCAAUUUUCUUCACACCAAGAGCAAGAAAUUGAAGUAAAAUUUAGCAACAAGCAGUACCCUAUUUGGAUUUUAUGAUGUUACUUAUUAUAUUUACUAUUUUUAUUCUUUUCAUCAUGAACUAAUUUUUUUUUGCUAAGGCUAAGGUAUAGCCACUAUUUUGAUACAAUAUUUAGUAUGACUGGAUUCUAGAUUUAAUUUUUGUUCAUGAGAAGUAUAC